RNAcentral lists this ribosomal RNA (496 nucleotides) under uncultured bacterium. RNAcentral describes it as "partial 16S ribosomal RNA". It matches the Rfam family "Bacterial small subunit ribosomal RNA", at positions 28 to 506 of the family's 1533-position model. The record is from RNAcentral.
GAUGAACGCUGGCGGCGUGCCUAAUACAUGCAAGUCGAGCGAACAGACGAGGAGCUUGCUCCUCUGACGUUAGCGGCGGACGGGUGAGUAACGCGUGGAUAACCUACCUAUAAGACUGGGAUAACUUCGGGAAACCGGAGCUAAUACCGGAUAAUAUCUUGAACCGCAUGGUUCAAUAGUGAAAGACGGUUUUGCUGUCACUUAUAGAUGGAUCCGCGCCGCAUGAGCUAGUUGGUAAGGUAACGGCUUACCAAGGGAACGAUGCGUAGCCGAGCUGAGAGGGUGAUCGGCCACGCGGGAACGUAGAGACGGACCAGACUCCUACGGGAGGCAGGAGUAGGGAAGGUUGCGGAAUGGGCGAAAGCCGGACAGAGCAAGGAAGCGUGAGUGAUGGAGGUCGUCGGAUCGUAAAACGCUGUUAUGAGGGAAGAACAAAUGGGUAAGUAACUAUGCACGUCUGGACGGUACCUAAUCAGAAGGCCACGGCUAAUUACGU